This 251-nucleotide long non-coding RNA is filed under the name Lathyrus oleraceus (garden pea). RNAcentral's name for it is "Pisum sativum (pea) long non-coding RNA (PSAT_LNC024071)". The record is from RNAcentral. Lineage: Eukaryota; Viridiplantae; Streptophyta; Magnoliopsida; Fabales; Fabaceae.
AAGGCCAUAACCGAUCACCACAAGACAAUAAUAAACACUUUAUUAUUAUUAUUAUUAAUUCCUUUAAUUAAUUAAAAUCAAAUUAAAUUUCGACGACCGAUCAUCACAUUUUAAUGAACAAUUCAUUUAAAAUCGAUGUCGCUUUUCGUAUCAACACUUGACACUUUUAAAGCACUGAGUUAGCCGAAUGGGCGAAAAUUUCCUUGCGUUAACCGGUUAACCAUAUGCGUUAACCGGUUAACACUGUUUUG